AAAUUGAAGAGUUUGAUCAUGGCUCAGAUUGAACGCUGGCGGCAGGCCUAACACAUGCAAGUCGAACGGUAACAGGAAGCAGCUUGCUGCUUCGCUGACGAGUGGCGGACGGGUGAGUACUGUCUGGGAAACUGCCUGAUGGAGGGGGAUAACUACUGGAAACGGUAGCUAAUACCGCAUAACGUCGCAAGACCAAAGAGGGGGACCUUCGGGCCUCUUGCCAUCGGAUGUGCCCAGAUGGG
This 242-nucleotide ribosomal RNA is filed under the name Escherichia coli. RNAcentral describes it as "partial 16S ribosomal RNA". It matches the Rfam family "Bacterial small subunit ribosomal RNA", at positions 1 to 239 of the family's 1533-position model. The record is from RNAcentral. Lineage: Bacteria; Pseudomonadati; Pseudomonadota; Gammaproteobacteria; Enterobacterales; Enterobacteriaceae.